AGACUGGUCAGGCUCGGGAAGCAGCUCAGGAGAACUCGACUUCUACUGCCUCAAAGUCCCGGGCAAGCGGAGGAAGAACCGGAGCGCUCCAGGGAAGCCCCGUCGGACGAGCAGCCGUCAGCUUCCUCCUUGUCUAGAAAAGCAGCAGCAGCCUGGCGCCGACCGACCUCCAGGCAGCAGAUCCACUCCGAGGGACGCCCGGAUAGCGGCGGCUCCUCUUCGGAGGGCAACAAGGACAACAAGAUGCCCUUCUGGAAGCGCACGGUGGAACCUCGCCGGCUGCUCCCCUCCGCUGCCGUCGCCCCUCGCUUGGCUGCUCUGCCGCUGGCCCAGCUCCACGACGUGUGCGGCCUGGCGACGCUGGCGCUGCUCCGGCAGCUGGCCGAUCUCUGCGGACACUCGGCGGCGUUGCUCGCGGACCUAGAGGGUCGCUUGCUGGAGCUGGCCCGCCGCGCCCACCGGCUUCGAAGCCGCCUCUGCAGAGUUCACGGGCUAAUCCGCCCCGGGGCGUCUCGAGAGGCAGGUAAGAAAGAAAAGUCAUCGCCCGCGCCGUCGAGGCAGGGCCACCGCGCUCUUUGGGAAUAGCACGUGGGCCGCUCCUAGAAGGGCGCGCGGAUUGUUUCCAAGGCGGAGAAGGCGGGAGGGAUUUGCUGUAAGGCAGCUACUUACCCCCCCCCCCCCCCCCCCCACUAAAAGAGGAAAGGCGUCACCCAAAUGCAAUGCAGGUUAAGCUAGCGGUGAAGACUGCGAGCAGGUGACCUGCUUGUGCCUGGCCGGUGUGCUCUCUGGGUGGCAGUCACUGUGACGGGCAACUUCAAUACUUCUCUCCCUCCCUAAGUUCUCUUAUCAUAAAACCAGACUUGAGUCGGACCGUGGGCUCAUCCACACUUUCCUUGUGCCCUGCGUAGAAAGCAGGGGUCGGACAGGAGCUCAGUGUUUCAACCAGAGGACUCCUUGAAAUAGAGGACUUGUCCUUUCACAGCCAUUUGAAUGGAGGACUCUACUCUGUAGAGUAGAGCAGGUGGCCAGUCUGUGCAAGUAUCUCUCUGCAGACCCAGAGGGUGGGGGUGGGGGGGCAAGGAAGGGGUUAACUCUCAAAAGAGUCAGAUGUCAAGUCUCAAUCCUUUCUGAAAUCCUCCAUUUAUGUCCUGUGAUGAAAAAAGAAUAGGCCCUUUGCCCAUGCUCAGAGGCAUUUUUAAAGAAAAGAAUUGUCUCUUUUCCCAGCUUUUUCUUCCUAGUUUGGAAAUGCAAAGGCUUCCGAUGGGCUUUCUAACAUGACAGUGGUGGUGGUUUUGCUGACCCUGCUUGCUGCAACUUCGCAGCCACGCUCCACCUUCAUUGUCAAAGGCAGUAGUGCUUCUGUUUACCUGCUUGCGGACAGACUUCUGGUUGUCCAUUGUGAUAAUGGAAAGCUGGACUAGACAGGCAUUUGGGCUGGUUCAGCAGAGCUCUUCUUAUAUUUUUAAAGAUAGGUCACAUAGCCGGAAGAAGAUGAUACACACAAAAUUUAAAAUGGUUCGAAACAAGAUGCACCUGCGGGGGGGGGGGGGGAGCUGGCGAAGCAGCGAUUCUGACACAUUUGGCACGUUGGAAACACAUGGCUUUCCCCCAAAGAAUAAUGAGAACUAUAGUUUACCCUUUCAUGGAGCUACAAGUUUGCAGAACCCCUGACAAAGUACAGCGCCCAGGAUUCUUUGGGGGAAGUUAUGUGCCUUCUUGGCUGAUAGCAAUAGCUGCUAAUCCACAGGCAUUUCUGUAGAGAGGCAGGAUCCAAAGGCCCCCAGGGCAGCAGAAUAAUGAUGUGUGAAUAGAACAAUAGUUUCUAAGUCACGGGGAAGUAAUAGCCCACUUUAUCUGGUAUUUAGGCCUCAAUAGCCAACUUUAUCUGGUAUUUAGGCUUCACCCAGUUCUGGGUGCCAAACUUUAAGAUGCUGAAAACAAAUUGGAACAGGUUCGGAGUAGGCCAGUGAAGAUGAUCAGGUGUAGGGAAUAUAAGAACGAAAGAAGAGCCCAGCUGGAUCAGGCCUAAGGCACAUCUGGUCCAUCAUCCUGUUCUCACUGUGGUCCAGCACAUGCCUUCAAGAAGCCCACAGGCAGGAAAAUGUCUCCUGUGGGGAAGGGAGCUGAAGGAACUGGCUGCAACUGCAACUGUUUAGACUGGAGAAGGGAAAACUUGGAGUGUUUACAUAUUGGACUUUUACUCUGGCUCCAAUGCACUCCCGCUGUUAGCAUCUGAAUCCACAUGCAUGUUACACAAGGGACGCGGGUGGCGCUGUGGUCUAAACCACUGAGCCUAGGGCUUGCCGAUCAGAAGGUUGGCGGUUCGAAUCCCCGUGACGGGGUGAGCUUCCGUUGCUCAGUACCAGCUCCUGCCCACCUAGCAGUUCAAAAGCAUGUCAAAGUGCAAGUAGAUAAACAGGUACUGCUCCGGCAGGAAGGUAAACGGUGUUUCUGUGCGCUGCUCUGGUUUCUCCAGGAGCAGCUUAGUCAUGCUGGCUACAUGACCUGGAAGCUGUCUGCGGACAAACGCCGGCUCCCUUGGCCUAUAGAGCGAGAUGAGUGCCACAACCUCAGAGUCAUUCGCGACUGGACCCAACGGUCAGGGGUACAUUUACCUUUACCUUUACAUGUUACACAGGGCUGAUGUGUCCCGUUUCACCACUUGCGGCAAAAUGGGAAGAUCUUGCACAAUUUCAGGUGACAUCUUGCCCAAAACGGACAUGCUCUUGCCCCCCAAAUCAGCACUGUGGUGGCAACAGGCUUCUCCCACGGGUGUUCGGGGGGGGGGGGGCUUAUGCUGGCUGAAGCAGUAGCUUCACCCUGCCUAAUGGCUUUGCCAGCUCUGAUGUUCUCAUGAUAUUAAUCAUAAAAUAUUAAAUUUAUAACCCACCCUUCCUCUGAAAGGAGCCCAGAGUGGCCAGUAAUAUGUAAAACAUCUUAAACUUAAAACAAUUCCAGCACAGAUGCAGACAGGGAAAGAUCUCAGCUUCAAAGGCGCAGAUUAAAGCUACCCUGUAGUUUCUGGAGAAAUAUUGUCGCGUGAUACUUUUUCUUCUCAAACCAGCAUCUUACCUGAAAGGAUACCUUAAGCCAUGUUUCCUUCACAGCCAUUGCACUUGCGUGGGUGGCAGCAUAUGCUCAGGUGAAGGCUUCGUGAUAGGAGUUCGGGGGAGGGGGGUUGCAAGGGGAGAGGUUAUGGGCAUCAGGUGACCACCUGCCUUUUCUCUGGUGUGUACAGCAGGGUGCCAAAUGAGAUCUAAAAUGCAGUAGGGAGAAAUGACCUUGCUGUGUUUUAAACCACUAAUGUGUUCAUAGCCUUGUAUUCUCAUUCCCCAGAGGACAAAACAACAUCUAAUGAGCUUAAGCUAUGGAAAGGUAGAUUCUGGUUGAACGUUAGGAAAUAUAUCAAGAGGAAUUUGACAGUGGAACCAAUUGCCUAAAGGUGUCCCUUGCUGAAGGUCUCCAGCCAGAAGCUAGAGAGCCGUCUGCUGGGGAAACUCUAGCAGAGGUUGGCAAGAUGAUCUAUAAAACCCCUCCAACCGAUUGUGUAAUUUACAGUUUGUUGUCUAUUCCCCUCCCACUUCCCCUCAAUCUGUUGUUGGUUUCUGGUAUGUUUUCCACUAGGUUUUCUGACCAGAGGGGUUUGAAAAAGUAUCAUGGAGCCUAUGUUUCAACAAAGGUGUGUUUUUUUUAAAGGACCCUUUAAAAAGUAUGCCUUCUUGGAGAACAGUUCCAGUGUAACUGCAGGGUGUUUUCAACUGUUCUGACAGUGCCCAGCAAGCUCUCCUGCUUCUCCAUCUGCUCUGGGCUGCCAUGUUGUCAAGAGUGAGCCAAAAGCAUCUUUUAGGGAUGAGCUUUUAUUCUGUAGACCAAAAAGCAUUUUCUUGUGACUUAGCAUUAUUCCAGUAUUGAACAAACCACGCCAAGUGUACAGUGGUACCUUGGUUCUCAAACUUAAUCCGUUCCGGAAGUCCGUUCCAAAACCAAAGCGUUCCAAAACCAAGCUGUACUUUCCCAUAGAAAGUAAUGCAAAAUGAAUUAAUCCGUUCUGGACUUUUAAAAACAACCCCUAAAACAGCAAUUUAACAUGAAUUUUACUAUCUAACGAGACCACUGAUCCAUAAAAUGAAAGCAAUAAACAAUGUACUGCAGUCACACAAUCAAUAUACAGUGGUACCUCGGGUUAAGUACUUAAUUCGUUCUGGAGGUCCGUUCUUAACCUGAAACUGUUCUUAACCUGAAGCACCACUUUAGCCAAUGGGGUCUCCUGCUGCUGCCACACCGCCGGAGCACGAUUUCUGUUCUCAUCCUGAAGCAAAGUUCUUAACCCAAGGUACUAUUUCUGGGUUAGUGGAGUCUGUAACCUGAAGCGUAUGUAACCUGAAGCGUAUGUAACCCGAGGUACCACUGUAUUCAGUAGCUGAACUGGGUUCCACCCAGUCAC
Non-coding RNA from Podarcis lilfordi (Lilford's wall lizard), 4444 nucleotides. The record is from the annotation of a GenBank genome assembly. Lineage: Eukaryota; Metazoa; Chordata; Lepidosauria; Squamata; Lacertidae.